GACGAACGCUGGCGGCGUGCCUAAUACAUGCAAGUCGAACGCAGCGGGGACGGGCGAGUAACACGUGGGUAACCUCCCAUCAGAGGGGAUAACACAUGGAAACAGGUGCUAAACCGAUACUGAUGGAUGGACCCGCGGUGCAUUAGCUAGUUGGUGAGGUAACGGCGCACCAAGGCCCCGGUGCAUAGCGGACCUGAGAGAGGGUUCGCCCACGCGGGUACUGGUACGCGGCCCUGACUCCGACGGGAGGCAGCGAGAGGGAAUCAUGGGCAAAGGGCGAAGGUCAGACCGAGCAACGCCGGGUGAGGGAAGAAGGUUUUCGGUUCGUAAAACUCUAGUAUUGGAGAAGCGGUAUCUAACCAGAAAGCCACGGCUAACUACGUGCCAGCAGCCGCGGUAAUUC
RNAcentral lists this ribosomal RNA (403 nucleotides) under uncultured bacterium. RNAcentral describes it as "partial 16S ribosomal RNA". It matches the Rfam family "Bacterial small subunit ribosomal RNA", at positions 28 to 526 of the family's 1533-position model. The record is from RNAcentral.